AGAUUGAACGCUGGCGGCAGGCCUAACACAUGCAAGUCGAGCGGCAGCACGGGUACUUGUACCUGGUGGCGAGCGGCGGACGGGUGAGUAAUGCCGUAGGAAUCUGCCUGGUAGUGGGGGAUAACGCUCGGAAACGGACGCUAAUACCGCAUACGUCCUACGGGAGAAGGCAGGGGACCUUCGGGCCUUGCGCUAUCAGAUGAGCCUAGGUCGAUUAGCUAGUGUGAGGUAAUGGCUCACCAAGGCGACGAUCCGUAACUGGUCUGAGAGGAUGAUCAGUCACACUGGAACUGGGACACGGUCCAGACUCCUACGGGAGGCAGCAGUGGGAAUAUGGACAAUGGGCAAAGCCUGAUCGAGCCAUGACGCGUGUGUGGAAGAAGGUCUUACGGAUUAGUAA
RNAcentral lists this ribosomal RNA (400 nucleotides) under uncultured soil bacterium. Its description in RNAcentral is "bacterial SSU rRNA". It matches the Rfam family "Bacterial small subunit ribosomal RNA", at positions 26 to 429 of the family's 1533-position model. The record is from RNAcentral.